ACCCAAACUCAUCAGUAAAUGGCGCUCUGGUGCUGCUGUGGAUACACUAGGGCGAUUUCAGCUACGUGCUCUGCUCAUGCGCAGCUCAGAAAUAAACGAGCACUGGCCUGAGCAAGACGUUAGCUUUUGUCCUCGCACUAUAUCAUCCACAGGAGCCUGAGCAGCACUCACAUGUGGAGAGGCUUCGCUUCUUCAGUCAAUCACAUGCACGCCACACAGCCUCCAUUAUUGUUUCAGCCAAACUGGGUUUUCCCUCCUGCAGAUGACUACAACGAAGAGUUUUUAAGCCAUUUUACAGACUGAACCGUGGCUCUCAACCAGACCAGACCAGACGAUGUAUUCCCUCAGGGAGAGGAGUGGGCCACAGAGACAAAACCUCUCCAGUUAGAAGCGCCAAGCUGCUGACCUGAUGUGGAUCUCAUAUCUCGCCAACGUCUCCCCCCGGCAACAAAUAUAUAUGUGUGUACUUUUCCAUUUGAUUUGGUGUCAGCGGUCAGGAGCGAUAAUGGGGUAAACAGCGUAUAGCUCACAGAGUUUGCCCGACUGGAACAAAAAAAAAAAAAUUAACUUCGUUUGAAACUUUGCUGUAAAGUUUUUUACACGGGAGGAUGAUUCAGAUACAUCUCUGUGUGUCUGUGUGUGUCACGAUUUAACAUUAAGCCCCAAGGGAGAUAAGAGCGGAUGAUCGGCGGCCUCUCUCUGCCUUUUCUGCUUUGUGCUCCAGUAGAUGAAGUGAUCAGAGUGGCACCAUGCAGAGUGCCACAUAAAAGAGGAUGAAAAAGACACAAAAGGCUCUUCUGUUGCACGGAGACAUCAUGCCAGUUGAACAAAACUUGUUGUCCAUUGUAUGAAAAUAUGUAUGACACGUUUGAGCUGUCAGUAGUAUUAAAAGGGCUCUACGUUAGUCUUGCAACAUGCCGUUUCUUUACAUUCAGUUUUCAAUCUUAUUUUAUGUAAACCCUGGGCCUAUGCUGAUGUUAGUUUUAGGUACAAUCACUCGGUUAGGAUUCGGAAAAACACAACAUUUUGGCUUUAAAUCCAGGUUUCUGUCCCCACAAAAACACGGCUGGAAAUCAUCCCGAGGCACCCUACCACCAUCCCCUCCACCUGUGCGAUAUGACACGUUUUUGCAGAAUUGUCAACACUGUGAAGCCUCUGACACAUCGGGUUUGCAGAAACAUUUCCUAAACUGACAUUUCAACUUGUCUGGUGAGCUGGUAUGACAUAAAUGUUCUUUGCUUAUUUUUCUCCCUUUGCAACGGACAAAUCCAAACGACAGUGACGCGGGUUUCCGUAACUUGAAUUUUGCGUGUUAAGUCAUUUCGGCACAUCAAAUCGCUCUGAUGGGUUCAGUUCCAUCUGAGCCUCCUCCUCCACCCCGCGCAGCUUCGCGGCUCUGAUGUACACACAGCGUCCAUGGAGGAUGAUGUGUGGGAUCAGAGCACCCUUUAUUGCUUAAUGGCCUGUCUGUAUGGCGGAGAGUUAGAGACCACAGUGGAGUCGCAACAGGGGACCCGAUGCUGCAGUUCAUCUUCAUUUUAAUUGGGAACAUUUUGUGUUGCUCCUUCCUCCACAUUAAUAAACCAAAGGCCCACGGCAGUUUCUCGAAAACUCAUUAAUGCACGAGAUGCAGUCCGAGCCAGGUGCUGCUGAGCGGGGAGCGCAGAAUUGGAAUAAAUACUUUUCCCUCUCUUUCUCCCCACGAUAUCAUUUUCUGCAGCUGCGUUAUUAGCUGUGACAACAACAAACAAUAACCCCACAAGCACAACACGAACAGAAGUUAGCUGCAACAUUACUUUGGGUUGUAUAAGCUAAUAAUAAACUCCUGUUAAUUCAGUCCUGAUCGUCACUCAGCGACUCUUGUCAGACCAGGUCAAGAUAUUGUAGGUUUUCUGUCGAUGGACUCUUUGCCCCCUCUGAGUUGAGCAAUGUGUGCGAGAUGCCGCACAGCGAGGGAGAUUCGGGCUACAAAGGGGCAGCUGCUACUGCAAUUGCUUGAGCUGUUUUGGGACACGGCGUGAUGAUUCAUGCUGGCAAAUUGAUUCAAUUCUUGGGCUGAUAAGCAGCUUUUUUUUUUCUUUUUUUUUCUCUUUGUGCCCAAAUGCUGAAAUGGCUUUUAAAAUACCCUUUGAAAAACACGUCUCCCUUGCCACAGUGAAAAAGGUGCAUAGGUGGUACACAGUAACGACGACAUCUCGCAAUAUAUGGUGAUGCAGUUCGAUUCUAACCACAGCUUCGACAAAUCACCUAUUCUGUACAGUCUCCUCACUUUGAAGCUGGGGCUUUGUGUUACGCAGGUGUUUGCAUUUCUGCCGCUAUUUUUACACGUUAAUCUUGACAGGUUUAUUGUGUCCUGCUGCCUUAGUAGUAUCUGUGCAUGUAUCUGUAUAUGUGGGGCGUAUGUUUGAUAAGUGCACAGCAGGUGUGGGUCUGUUUCAAGGGAACACUGGUGGAAAUGGGAAAAAAAAAAAAAAAAACCUUUGGCCAACUCUUAUCAGCAUCAGGCAGUCCAUAGCAACAAACCAGGCAGCAAAAUAGGUUUCAAAACAGCCCACGGGCCAACCUGCGCCACACAUCUCAGCUCCGCCUCUGCACAGGAGAUCACACACGCCGCUGGACUUCUUGCCCCUCGCUCAGCACAUCACCGUAUAAGCCCAUGUUCAGCUGAGAUGCAGGGGGUUUGAUCAGAACAACAGUGUGGGUAUGUUGCUUGAGAUUCACACACACAAGCCCCUCAUUAUCAGUAAAGGGCACUGAGCCCUGGCUUCCCACCUGUUGUCAAAUCCCCUCAUCUUCAGCACAGACGAGUUUUUAGGGAGACCGGAACACACAGUCCUGGAGGAAUCAAUCUUCUUAAAUGUCAGCCUUGCAAAAUUGGGUCCGUCCCAAACUGCGGCCCGUGCUGCGAGUUUAUUCCGAGGAUUCAAUUCAGUCGUGUGAAACAGAGGCCAAAACAAACUUUGUCAGGCUCUUAAACUGCAAGAAACUGAGUGCAUAACUAGCCAAUUAGCAUAUAAACCCUGGGUGAGUUUAAGUGGAAUGCCAUCCCCCACAAUGCAUACUUCUUGUUAAAAUGCCAUCCACCCUUUCUGCCCUAGUAGCAGAGAGAGUGCAGGGACAGAGGGGUUGUUUAGCUCAAUGUGUCGGUCUAGUCUGCCUGACUCACUGAUUCUGUUUCUGACUGAGGUUUUGCACAAGCUAGAAUCGACGGCUUCCACCGCUUCUCUGUAGACGCAAACAUGUGUUUAUAGUUAUGACAAGUACAACAGGACUGUUUAAAGGUAAAAAUGUGAUUCUGGAGGAAGAUAGUAGAUAGUUUAUUCUCUCACAAGUGCUCCUUUUAUAAAAAAAGAUGAGCAUCAGUCUCCAUAAGGCGACAUCAUGAUGCUGAAACAUGGCAGACAAAAGUAAACUUUGGGUUGGUGGUAAGAAACUUCCAUCUAAAGUCAAUUAAUUAUAUUUCACAACUUACAUGAUCAGUUUCCUUUGUUCUUAGUUGUAAUUAAGAGAGUGGAAACAGCUGUCUAAGUGUUUGUUGAAAAGCUCUGAGCGAUGCAAGGCACCUUCUUUUUUGGCAUUAAAAGGCGCUCCCACAUUCCGACUUGACGCACUCGAACACACUGAAGUUGGCGAGACAACUUCCCAACUCGGCAAAUGGGACCUGCCGCGGAGCACGAUGGAUGGCGGUAUCAUCUGUCCACAAAAGCCUUUUUUUUUUUUUUUUAAAUCAGUUGCUCAUUAAAGAGAUCCCCCCUGGAAGAAGCUGGCCAAAUUUUUGUUUGGAGAACGAUUUUCUCUGUUUCUUAUUAAUGAGAAUCUACUUCUGCCUCUGCCAGAUGGAGGAAUAAGGCUGUUUCAACAGUUAUCAUCUGUGUUAAGCCUGAACUGCCCUCAUCUGUCAAAAUCUACACUCUCCGACUCUGAACAUGGUGAAAAUUUUCCCCUUCGUAGAUCUAACAGCUGUUUUUAUGGAUAGAUUCCCGGGAACACAAGAUAUUGGUUUAAGGAAAUGAGUGCAUUACUAAAGAAAUACCGCGUGUGAAUCUUUGGUAAACCUUGUGUUACCUGCAAACUGCAACUCACGGUGAGCGUGAGAUGGAGCCACAGAGUGUGGUGAGGAGGAAACGCAUGACUUAGAGAGACAGGGACAUUGUCAAGGAAGACAAACAAAAGCGAGCAUAAGAGUGUGUGUUCAAAAGUUUGUUUUUAAUAUUAACUAAAAAAAAAUAUUUGCCUAUGUCCUCCACCCGAGUCUACACAAAAAUCCACUGUCACCAUAUGAGAAGAGGCCUCCCUCUGCAUGGAAAGUAAUUCACUAGCAAAAGCACUCUCUAGUCACAGUUUAUGUGCUGUUGGAAAACAAUAAUAAAAAAAUGCAGCAAUACAAAAAUCAAUCAAAGGUACAGGAGUCAUCAGUAAAUAUACAGUAAAACGAUACAUCUGUGUUUAAAAGGCAUCAAUAAGAUUAAACAAUAAGGCUACGAUAUCUGAAUGCAAAGUGUAGCAGUGUGUAGAGUUCAAAACACUUCAUGUACAGUUAAAAAAAACACAGCAGCCAAAACAGACACAUCGUGAGCUAAUGUUAGCUCAGACAUCACGGUCAGUUAAUUUAAUGAAUUUCAAUGUAAUUUUCCACUCAGCACACACUCGACACUCAAUGACGCACACAGGGAUAGGACUCGCGCUUCUAAUCAAUAUUAUAAAAUUCCCCCUCUUCACACACCGGUAUAAAUACUGCAGGACGCACAGAGACUUCACACUGUCACCUCAUUUUAAUCAUCUUCACCCAGCAGAUCGCCUGACGGAGCCUUUUCACCGUCGCUGAUUUGAAUUCGUCAGUGUGAAUCAAGCUGUUUUUCUUGCAGGACAAACAAGUCUCAGUUCCAAUCACUCGUGACCUUUAACAACCUGUCAGCCCCAAACUGUGAUUUGUGCUCAUAUUUAUCGUAUUGAUUUUAAUUAAGUCUCUUAAUUGCGUUGUGCUGACAGGAGAAUUGAGUGGAGAUUGUUGAAGAUAGUUGUGCAGCAUCUUCUAUACAAGGUCAAUACAGACUCAGCUAGCUAAAAACUUCAACUCGGACUGUCCGAAAGCUGCUCUUGGCUUUAUUGCUGUAUGGAAACUGAGAGUUGAAAAAUACAAAACAGGCACAUCUGACAGAUUACAUUGAAAAAUAGACAUUUAGACACUUCAGCUGGAUUUAGCUUAUUUUCUUUGGCACUUCAGGGCAGUGGAAACAAGCUCUAGAGUCCAGAAACAUCAUUCACCUUUAAUAUUUAAUAAGGCCAACUGUUAACAACCAGUUUAGACAUCCAUCAGUUAUGGAACAAAAUUGGCAUUCAUUUAGUUGGUAUUAUGGUUAAUCUUAGCUCAAUAUAAAAUAUUGUUUUAGUUCUAUUUUGAAUCUCCACCAUCUCCUGAGAGAAAUAUCUGGCUCUUGAGCUGCUUAAUGCUCCGCUCAUCUAUUUGUUGUUUUAUGCUGAGCAUGUAGCGUACAGUACUUUUCAACAGGCCCCUGGUAGCUCCAUAUAUCCAAAUAUAACGGGUAGCUAUCCUUGGCUGUAGGGAGUAGCUUCCGUUUGGUAAUUAAUUACCGGCCCUUUAGCUGACUAAAUUCUGCCUAGACCACGGCCUUGGAUCACGGAGGGAGUGCAGGCAACAGGGUUCCCCUCAACUAGCUUGUCUGGCUCCCAGUGAUCAUGGCUGGACACCAGACUGGGGCUGAACACAGCCUCCGGGACUGAAAAAGGUCGGUUUGACAACAGAAGAUACAGUAUGGAGGUGAUUAACACCAGCUCUAACCAGGACAAUGAGUCCAGUGAUGUGAAGGCACAACCAGUGUCUCUGAGAAGACAGAGUCUGACCCUGAAAAGACAAACCAAGACUGUUUUGAGAGGCAUCAGUGAUGAACAUCUUGGAUACUAUUAACGGAUGUUUCGCAUUAGCACACUUCAACAAAACGGAUGCCAACGACGGCAUCCUCCUAUCACCAAACUACUAAAGACAUCAUAUCUGCC
Molecule: long non-coding RNA, 6015 nt
Organism: Acanthopagrus latus (yellowfin seabream)
Lineage: Eukaryota; Metazoa; Chordata; Actinopteri; Spariformes; Sparidae
Exons: 4
Source: RefSeq, a predicted model, not a curated record